Molecule: long non-coding RNA, 1940 nt
Organism: Rosa chinensis
Lineage: Eukaryota; Viridiplantae; Streptophyta; Magnoliopsida; Rosales; Rosaceae
Exons: 5
Source: RefSeq, a predicted model, not a curated record
UUUUAUUGAUUCCCAUUCUGCCCUUAAAGGCAGCUCUCUCUAUCUCUUCUUCUCCUCCACAGAGAUACAGACCUCCAGAAGCGGUUCCCUACUGGAGGACCUCGCCCCACCGGAGCUUACUCCGAUCUCUUCGUUUUCAUCAUUGACGGCAAAGCCGAUAUCUGCUUCUACAGUAGCGCCUCUGAUUUGUUAUCCACAAUCAGAAGCAAGAGACCGCGAAAUGAGCCAAGACGCCAAGAGAAGCGUUCCCGGGAUUGUGCCGAAGAAGCCGAAUUUCAACGAGCGGAAACCCUCGCCGGCUGUCACCACCUCCACCGGCAAGCCCGUUUGUUGUGUUAAUCACUGGAUUUGAUUCGGAAAUAGGGUUUGGCUUAAUCUGGAGAUCGCUGCCGAUGUUAUAGAGCUGCAGUUUAUUGGUUUCGGCAGUUAACUCGUUCCUUGGCUAAUUUGUUUCUUCUCUUACGACGGCGGAGGCUCUUAAUUACAAUCAGGUACAGGUGUUUCUAAGAGAUUUUGUUCCUACUGGUUUGGCCUGCCUUUCAGAUGGCUUUGACACAUUUCCAACACUUCUUUGUGCAGAUGGUUGCAGUCUGCAGUAUGAUUGACAGGAGGAACAAUAAGAUUACAUUGGAUGGCAUAAGUUUGUAUUGUUAUAUUUUUCUUGUUUCUCUGAGCCUUGAUUUAUAUGGAAAUACUUGAAUGCCUUUCUGCUUCUUAUACAUGAUUAUCUAUGCAAUUCGUUUUGCUGCAAUUCAGGUUUUUGGUAACUUAUUGGUAUGGCACCCCUUUCACUUUUGUUAUAACAGUAUUGUCAGUAAUUUCUGAAAUUAUCAAAGUUGGACUAGUAGAUAGAGAUCUGUAACGAAAACUAGGUUAGUGUUGUGUGGUUUGUGAAAACUUGUAUAUUGAAGAUAUAUGCUUUAAUACUGAUGGAAUUUAAGGUAAUUCUGGUUUCUUCUUUCUAUGUCAUUAAAUGAUAGGUUAUCAUGUGAAGCAUAUUCUUGCAUAAAGAAGCGUUUGAUAUAUGUCACUAGGCAAAAUUUUCAUUUUCUGCUUCCUCCUAAAGGCUCUGAUUUAAUGAAUGCAUCUGGUUGCAGAUAUAAGAUAUGAGCACUUGUAGGGUGGGUUAGCUUGAUAGCUUGUUUACAUGAAAAUAAUUGAAUAUUGAUAGGUCGUUUACACGAUGAUUCAGGUUUGACUUUCUGCUUGUUGGGUGGGAACCGUGGGAUAGAGCAUUGUAUUUUUGCGUAUUUCUAUGGGAGAAUAUUAGGCUCUUGCUGUGUUUCUUUUAUCAUACUAGCGCCCUCGUCCAUGUGAAAAUUGAAAUAGUUAUGACUUAUGAGUGGAUGCUAGUCAGUAAAAUUUUUGGUUGGAAAGGAUUCUAAAAUAUUGUGGAUACUCACUACCCCUUUAAACUCUGGGUUUUGUGUUAAAUUAUUUGAAUGUUUACAAGAUAUACUAUGUUAUAAGUGUUUGAUUUUUCUGUUUCAAUAAAUCAAAUUGUUUAACUGAAAUUUUUGUUGUCCUACUGGAAUUCCUGCUUUUCAUCAGAGAAUACAAUGCAUGAGAAACAACUUCAAAACUCCGGGAAUCUGUUAGAGACAAAAGAACUGAGUUACAAUUGCUGAGGCAAAAUUUGAAGCUAACUUUCAUUCUCUAGGGGCAAAUGAUAUAUUUGGAAGACUGUUGGCUUAUGAAUUGGGAUUACUCUAAUUCCUUGUCCGGUGCCAUCGAAGCUUUGAGGGCUAGCACGCUCCGCCUUUUAGUGGUUGAUGGAGCAAGGGCAGAUGUCCACAAUGUGAAGGAUGCUAUUUCUUCCACAGUUGAUGUGAUGCAGGCAACUUGAUAUCUGAUGAGUAGAUAAGCUUUCAUUUUAACAUCUGUAAAAUUUAGUUACUGAUCAUUUUAUGGAAUUCAUGCUUUUGCAAUGGCUAAUUAUA